CCUACGGGAGGCAGCAGUGGGGAAUAUUGGACAAUGGGCGAAAGCCUGAUCCAGCAAUGCCGCGUGAGUGAUGAAGGCCUUCGGGUCGUAAAGCUCUUUUACCAGGGAUGAUAAUGACAGUACCUGGAGAAUAAGCUCCGGCUAACUCCGUGCCAGCAGCCGCGGUAAUACGGAGGGAGCUAGCGUUGUUCGGAAUUACUGGGCGUAAAGAGUACGUAGGCGGUUAUUCAAGUCAGUGGUGAAAGCCCGGGGCUCAACCCCGGAACUGCCUUUGAAACUAGAUAACUAGAGUCUUGGAGAGGUUAGUGGAAUUCCGAGUGUAGAGGUGAAAUUCGUAGAUAUUCGGAAGAACACCAGUGGCGAAGGCGACUAACUGGACAAGUACUGACGCUGAGGUACGAAAGCGUGGGGAGCAAACAGGAUUAGAUACCCUGGUAGUCCACGCCGUAAACGAUGAUAACUAGUUGUUCGGUCACUUGGUGACUGAGUGACGCAGCUAACGCAUUAAGUUAUCCGCCUGGGGAGUACGGUCGCAAGAUUAAAACUCAAAGGAAUUGACGG
This 561-nucleotide ribosomal RNA is filed under the name uncultured bacterium. RNAcentral describes it as "bacterial SSU rRNA". It matches the Rfam family "Bacterial small subunit ribosomal RNA", at positions 338 to 916 of the family's 1533-position model. The record is from RNAcentral.